AAAGAGACAGAACAAUGUUAUAGGUGAGUGCAUGGACAAUGACCUCAAACAGCUAAGAUUCAAACCCCUGCGUUGAAUGAUUGAAUUGAAAUGAUUCAAUGAGCUAAUGUACAUAAAGCAUCCAGAAUGUUGCCUGGCACAAGGACUGUAUUGUCUGCUAGACCAUUUAUUCAAAGUGGGAGGAUGAUGUUCUAAAAGCCAAUGAUAAAGCUCAUGGCAAUGCAGGGUAUAUCUGAUGGCAUGGAAUGCUUUAGGAUGGCCAAGAUUGCCCAUCAAAUGCCAAGUCACCGAAGUUAUUAAUGGCUCUCCUACUAGGAGCCUGACAUCAUGGUGAGCAUCGAGAAAGGAAUAACCUAAGCUGAAGACACGCCUUUUCAGGAGGCCAAGUUCCACGUUCUGUGCAUGCUUUUGGCGAAAGUCAGGUGCCGAGACAUGAACUUUGGUCUUCUCUGCAAUCCAUCUGGAGCAUUCACUGACAACAUCGACUUUGAAGUUGCACUGACCUGGCCAGCCCUGCCACUUACCAGGUUGGCUCUGUAUGGCUAAGCGUUUUCUCCUAAAAUCCCUUGAAAACUGUGAGAAGACCAUAAGAAGAUCAUAUCUUUAAUUCUAUUUCACAAGUCACACAAUAUUCCAAUCAAAUACAGAUGGUUGAGAAAAGUCAUCCAUCUUCCCUCCCCACCCUCCCACAGCCCCUCAACCACUGCCCUGAAACUUAUAUGCUGUUAUCCGCAGCUCCAUCUGGAGCAUCACAGCUACUGUCAACCCUGACGCUCUUUCUGAAAAAACACCGGAUGGACAUCAGAACUAUUUCUUUAAGGAUGUUACUGAGCCACACAGGAAAACUUGCCUUAUGAUUUUGAAUGCACGGAUCUGAUUUGACUAAACAUGAUAACUAGAGAAUCACCCAAUCUACUCCCAUUUUCAACUCUAAAUCAUCAGAGUGUCUCAAAUCCAAAGCACACACAGACCAGCCUGGCCAACACGGUGAAACUCCACCCCUACUAAAAGUAUAAAAAUUAUCCAGGUGUGGUGGCGGGCGCCUGUAAUCCAAGCUACUUGGGAGUCUGGAGGCAGGAGAAUCCCUUGAACCUGGGAGAUGGAGGUUGCAGUGAGCAGAGAUCACACCACCGCACUCUAGCCUGGGCCACAAAUCAACAACAACAACAACAACAAAAAACAAAGCGCACACAGAGACUGAGGUCCUCUUUGGCAUUGAGAAGAUGGCUAUGCAAGUCCCAACUAGCAAGUGCAAACUUCCCAGCUUCACUUCUGCCAGUGUCCCUUCACCCCUUCUCAACCCCACUGGGAGGCAGGAGGGUGCUUGACAAUAACAGCCUUGGCAUCACUCUGCCAGGGUGUAAUAGGAACUGUUACAAUUCUGAGAUUCUGUAAGUGCUUUGAGAUUUUGGAGUCAGACUGCUUGAACUUGAAUCCUGGCCCUCUCAUCAGAGACUUGACUUAUUUUAGGCUGUGGCUUGCCUUUUCACUUCUUGUGUCCUGUUUAAGAAAUAUCUGCUAUCCCAAGCAUCUGGCAUCUUUCUUGACAUAUGUAGCAGUUGCUUUUUGACAGCUUGCUUCUUCAGUGAAUGAAUAAAUUAAUAAAGAGAAAUGUGAUGUUCAGUGAUCCAUUUUGCAGAUAACACUAACAAAGUUGACCUUAGAAUUGGAGUGCCUGGGUUAGAACCCUGCUGGUACCACCUGCUUACUGCAUGCUUCUGAUGUGAGUUCAGGAGAAGACACUGGCAAGGACAGCAAAGAACAGGAGAACACUCUAGCUUCCCUGAUAGCAUUCAAGGUGCUGUCCAAACUGACUGUGAUGGCACCCUCCAGACAGACAGCGAUGCCACAUGUUCAAGAUGGCAGAAUCACUAUCAGCUUCAAUUCCUGAAUGACUGCAGAGCAAAAUUUCUUACCUGCAACAUACACUCUAUUUUCAGCCUCCCUGGACUGUUACAUAAUGAUACAUAAAAAUAUUUCUUGUGUUGAGGCAUCCCAAAUUUGAUUUAUUUGUCAUCACAGUCUAUCCUAUGAAUAUAUUUCUGAUCCAAAUAAUGCUAGAUUCAUGAGAGUUUAUAGUCCAGAGAUUUUUUUUUUUUUUUUGAGACAGAAUCUGUCUCCCAGGCUGGGGUGCAGUGGCAUAAUCUUAGCUCACUGCAACCUCUGCCUCCCGGGCUCAAGUGAUCCUCCCUCCUUAGCCUCCAUGAGUAGCUGGGACCACAGGUGUGCACCACCACACCCCGCUAAUUAUUUUGUAUUUUUUGCAGAGGGGGGUUUCACCACAUUGCCCAAGCUGGUCUCAAACUCCUAGACUUAAGGGAUCUGCCUGCCUUGGCCUCCCAAAAUGCUGAAAUUACACUUGUUAGCCAUAGUAAUAGUUCCUAGCCAUAGUCCGGAGAUAUUUUAAAAACUUUAGUGUGAGUUAUUUCUCUUUGCUAUAAUUCUCUCAUGCAUUUUGAAAACCUUUUCUGCCAUACAGUGGUUUUUGGGAAGUCCUUUUGGACAGACAUAUCACAGGAUGGAGAAACUAAAAAGAGAGAAUGCAUUAAAGAAAAAAUAGUACUUCGUAUUUCAGAAAUUACAAAAGGGUGUCAUGCCCCACAGCAUGGUGGGCAGUCAUUUGUAACCCACAGAACAUUGAGUUUCUAAAAUUUGAGUGUUUUUAACUUACGAAGGCCAACUUUACUGAUGAAGUGAUUACCCCAAAUAUGUGAAAUCCAUAUUUCAAGUACAAUAGUAGGAAAUUGGAAAUGGGCUCUUGAGUUUCUGCUUUCAAGUGACCCUCAGAAAUUCCUCCAUUCACUGCAGAGGUUCUGUUUCUCCUUGCUUUGUUCUGACUUUACGGCAGAACUAAGCUAAUGAGUUAGUUACUAUGGGUUAUCACUUGGAUUUGAAGAACCAUCAUUUCUAGGCAUUGCUGCUCAGAGUGGGUCUGCCCUCAGGGGAAGCUGUCUAACCAGAGCCUAACCCACUAGGGUUUUAUCAGAACCUAACUGACCUGAGGAAAAGAAAUACUCAACUCCAGCAAGCUCCAGCCUUCCAAAUGGAGGAGGAGAAAACCCAACUCCAGCCCACUUCAGCUAUCUUGUCCCACAUAAAGGGGAAGUGGAAGAAACCUGAGAAGCAGGCAUGAAGUUCACAGUCCAGAGACCUUGCCAUCGUAUCCCCUUUUGGAGACACAAGCCAGGAAGGAAGCUCUUCAGUGCAGCUGUGAAUAGAGAAAUGCUGGCUGAGGUUUUGGAGACACUGGGUGAUCAUUCCCAGUGAAAUUUUUAGAUCCCUGGGGACAUGAGCUGCUUUGUCUUUUCCAAGGACAGCAGACAGAGCAUGAAUGAGACCCCCAAAGAAGGGAAGCAAAUGAGACAAGCCCCACAAUUAUUCUGGCUUUUUGCCUAGAGACAAUCUAUGAACUGUGGGGCAAACAACAGAGAUCAAAACAGCUUGGCAAUCUGAGUUGAGGAUGAAGACACCAUUGGGGCAGAAGCAGCGAUAGCUCAAAUUUGUGGAGCAAAGUACCGGAGAAGAUAAACUGCUCCAAAUUCCAAGAGGCUGGGCAAAGAAAAACUUUGUGGAAAGAAGAAUUAUCAGGGAACUCUAAGCUGAAAAAUUGCCAGGGCUCACACAGACCUGGGGAAUUGGUUGAGUUUAUGCCACCUACAGGAUAGAGAACUUGCUGAAUGUUCAAGGAUUUUGUUACAGAUGCAAGAUGACACUUAAAGGGAUGCAAAACUAACAUCUCUGGAUUAGUCUUAAUAAAGUUUAAAAAUAAGCUUAGAAAAAGUCAAA
This 3786-nucleotide long non-coding RNA is filed under the name Homo sapiens (human). Its description in RNAcentral is "PREDICTED lncRNA (TCONS_00257671)". The record is from RNAcentral. Lineage: Eukaryota; Metazoa; Chordata; Mammalia; Primates; Hominidae.